AUGGAGAAGCAGAUGCUAUUCAUGAUUCUCAUCGUUACAGGUGGAUUGGCAGACAAAAUUGGACCAAGAGAAGGAGAUAGUAAUAUAAUCACGAAAGAAGGAGAUUUUGUGACCCUGAGCUGCACAUGUGAUGUUAGCAGCAAUAAUGUUUGGCUUUACUGGUACAGAAAAUAUCCAAAUGGAGAACCUCAGUAUUUUCUGCUCAAAGGUGUUCGAUCAGAGAUUGGUGCUGAGGAUAAAUCAGACCAUCGGUUUCAAUCAAGUACAUCCCAGUCAUCCACUGUCCUCAUUGAGAAAGCAGUUCUGUCAGAUUCAGCUCGCUAUUACUGUGCUCUAAGAGUAGCAGCCCAAUGA
Carassius auratus (goldfish) is the source of this 354-nucleotide non-coding RNA. Lineage: Eukaryota; Metazoa; Chordata; Actinopteri; Cypriniformes; Cyprinidae. The record is from the annotation of a RefSeq genome assembly.